Cercocebus atys (sooty mangabey) is the source of this 118-nucleotide ribosomal RNA. The record is from Ensembl. Lineage: Eukaryota; Metazoa; Chordata; Mammalia; Primates; Cercopithecidae.
AUCUACGGGCAUGCCACCUGAACCCGCCCGAUCUCGUCUAAUCUCGGAAGCUUAGCAGUGUGGGGCCUGGUUCGCACUUGGAUGGGAGACCACCUGGGAAUGCCAGGUGCUGUAGGCU